Nicotiana tabacum (common tobacco) is the source of this 2600-nucleotide RNA transcript. It is a transcript of the gene named O-fucosyltransferase 20, with no coding region annotated. The record is from RefSeq and is a predicted model, not a curated record. NCBI's taxonomy places the organism in Eukaryota, Viridiplantae, Streptophyta, Magnoliopsida, Solanales, Solanaceae.
UCACUUCCAAUACUAAACGCGCAUUUGUUCCUGCCGUCCUUCUUUCUAGCUUUCCAGCUACCCAUUUUCUCUUUCUACUUGCCCAUUUUCUUUCUCUGGAAACUUUCCAAGAAAGCUCUGAGAAAAUCUUGUCUUAAUAUAUCAAGAGUUCACAAUCUUGUCUGUGUAUUUUGGGAUGGGUGUAUCAAAGAGCAACAAGCAGCAUCAAUGUUACAUUGCAGUGCCAUCUCAGAUAAUUAAUUCACUUCCUUCUUCAGCUCUUCAAACUCUACUAGAAGAAGCUCCCAAGAAAAAGACAAAGACUAGUGAUCCUUCCAAGUUGAAGCUUUUGCUCACUAAUCCAAGAUUCUGGAUUUUCUUGCUUUUUCUCUUUGCUUUUGCUGGGAUAUUGUUAAAUAUGUGGCUCAACUUUGAUCCUUUCUCACAAUACCCAUGUUCCAUUUCUCAAGAAAAGGGUCAAAUCUCUGCUGCCCCUCAGCUCAGUAUUGCUGCUGUGAAUGAAAAAAGUAUAGUGAAUGAAAAGAGUAGUGAGUUCUGGAAGCAACCUGAUGGGUUGGGUUACAGGCCUUGUUUGGAUUUUAGUGCAGAGUACAGAAAGGUAAGCGUGGAGAUUUUGAAGGAUAGGAAUAAGUAUCUAAUGGUAGUAGUUUCUGGGGGAAUGAAUCAGCAGAGAAAUCAGAUUGUUGAUGCUGUUGUCAUUGCAAGAAUUCUUGGUGCUGCUUUAGUUGUUCCCAUUUUCCAAGUCAAUCCUAUUUGGGGUGAUGAAAGUGAGUUUUCUGAUAUUUUUGACAUGGAUCAUUUCAAAAAAGUUUUGGCAAAUGACGUGCGAAUAGUUUCAUCGCUUCCGUCUAUACAUGUUAUGACAAGGCCAGUGGAGGAGAAACACACUCCUCUCCAUGCUUCCCCUCAAUGGAUACGCUCACAUUAUACCAGAAAGCUUAGAAGGGAUGGAGUUCUUCUUUUGCGAGGUCUUGACUCAAGGCUAUCUAAGGAUCUACCAUCCGAUCUUCAGAAACUUCGUGGCAAGGUAGCUUUUCAUGCUUUGAGGUUUAACCCAUCGAUCUUAGAGCUUGGUAACAAACUUACAGAGAGGAUGAGGAGCAAGGGACCAUAUCUUGCUCUUCAUUUGCGAAUGGAGAAGGACGUGUGGGUGAGGACUGGAUGUCUUCCUGGUUUAAGUCACGAGUAUGAUGAAAUGAUAAACAAUGAGCGGAAGCACAGACCUGACCUCUUAACUUCAAGGUCAAACAUGACCUACCAUGACAGGAAGCUUGCUGGUCUCUGCCCCUUGAACGCAUUGGAAGUUGCAAGGUUGAUCAAGGCUCUGGGAGCUCCAAAGGGUGCUAGAAUAUAUUGGGCUGGUGGAAUUCCGUUGGGUGGGAAAGAAGCCCUGCAGCCAUUGACCAAGGAAUUUCCACAUUUCUAUAACAAAGAGGAUCUUGCUUUGACUGGGGAGCUUGAACCAUUUGCAAAGAAAGCAUCACUUAUGGCUGCUAUUGACUACAUAGUGUCGGAGAACAGCGACGUUUUCAUGCCAUCUCAUGGUGGAAACAUGGGCCAUGCCAUUCAGGGACACAGGGCCUACGCAGGGCACAAAAAGACUAUCACUCCUAACAAGAGACAGAUGCUCCCACAUUUUCUUAACUCAUCUCUCUCUGAGACAGAGUUCAACAGAAUUAUACUGGAUUUGCACAAAGAUUCGUUAGGUCAGCCGGAACUCAGGAAGACAGGAAGGGAUGUUACAAAGUACCCUGUCCCAGAAUGCAUGUGCAACACUACUACUAUCCAUUCCUCCGUGUAAACUCCUUUCGUACUAACCAGACAAUUUAGCGAUGAUAUAAGAAUCGUUGACAAUGUGAAUCAGGAGCAUCACUGCAUCUGUGGGAUUAGCCCUCCCUUAAGAUAUAGUCUCUUACAUUCCACAAAGAGGGCUUUCUCAGGUGCAACACUGUUCGGAAGGAGGGCCUAAGGCAGAGAUGCACUAUCAUCAAAACACCGGUAGUUUUCCAGCUUGUCCAUAGCAUACAAGCAGGUAUUGUGUUCUAUGUUUCCUAUCUUCCUUCCUAGACAGCUGCUGGUUAGAUCACCAGGCAAACAUAGAUAGGAAGUUGAGUAGCUAUGGGACAGUUCAAAAAGAAAAAUGAUGUCUAUUGAGUUACCGGAGCAAAGGUAACGUCUAUUGCAUAAGGUGUAACCUCUUUGUCAUAUAACCAUUGUGCAAUGCUUUUCAAACAAAACCGAUGAAUUUGAGUGGAGCCUUAAAUUUCCAUGUAAGUUCCAUUGCCAGAGGGCGCUUGAGUACAGGAGCUGACACAACAGUUGCCAAUAUUGUCUUCUUUUCCAGAUCAUUCUGUCAGCUUCGGUUGUUGGAGGAGGAAUGCAUACAAUUAAUUAGCAACAUGUUUUUUCAUCAGCAAUGCACAAAACAUGUCUGAUCCAAACUUUUAUAUUUGGGUCAGAAGCCAAAACCAUAUGGUACUUUGAAUAUUUCUUUUCUCAUACCUGCAUUUUCAUCAUCCAUUUAAAUUUCAUCUUCUAGUGAGCAAAAAGGCAUGGCCAUCCUGUGAACCAUGUUUAUACUAUUCUCUGCAUUAUUUUUA